UACGGGGGGUGCGAGCGUUGUUCGGAAUUACUGGGCAUAAAGGGUGCGUAGGUGGCUUGUUAAGUCAGGGGUGAAAGUUUUCGGCCCAACCGGAAAAUGGCCUUUGAUACUGGCGAGCUCGAGUGCGUGAGGGGUAACCGGAACGAGCAGUGUAGCGGUGAAAUGCGUAGAUAUUGCUCGGAAGGCCAACGGCGAAGGCAGGUUACUGGUACGCAACUGACACUGAGACACGAAAGCGUGGGGAGCAAACAGG
RNAcentral lists this ribosomal RNA (253 nucleotides) under uncultured bacterium. RNAcentral describes it as "partial 16S ribosomal RNA". It matches the Rfam family "Bacterial small subunit ribosomal RNA", at positions 524 to 776 of the family's 1533-position model. The record is from RNAcentral.